GAUGAACGCUGGCGGCGUGCCUAAUACAUGCAAGUCGAACGAAACUUCUUUAUCACCGAGUGCUUGCACUCACCGAUAAAGAGUUGAGUGGCGAACGGGUGAGUAACACGUGGGCAACCUGCCCACAAGAGGGGGAUAACACUUGUACACAGGUGCUAAUACCGCAUAACCAUAGUUACCGCAUGGCAUCUAUGUAAAAGAUGGCUAUACUACCGCUUUUGGAUGGGCCCGCGUCGCAUUAGCCAGUUGGUAGGGUAAAGGCUUACCAAGGCAAUGAUGCGUAGCCGAAUUGAGAGGUUGAUCGGCCACAUUGGGACUGAGACACGGCCCAAACUCCUACGGGAGGCAGCAGUAGGGAAUCUUCCACAAUGGGCGAAAGCCUGAUGGAGCAACGCCGCGUGGGUGAAGAAGGUCUUCGGAUCGUAAAACCCUGUUGUUAGGGAAGAAAGUGCGUGGGAGUAACUGUUCACGUUUCGACGGUAUCUAACCGGAAAGCCACGGCUAACUACGUG
Molecule: ribosomal RNA, 512 nt
Filed under: uncultured bacterium
Lineage: Bacteria
Description: partial 16S ribosomal RNA
Rfam family: Bacterial small subunit ribosomal RNA
Source: RNAcentral